UCUACGGGUGGCAGCAGUGAGGAAUAUUGGUCAAUGGCCGGAAGGCUGAACCAGCCAUGCCGCGUGAAGGUCAGUGCCCUAUGGGCGUUAAACUUCUUUUGUGCGGGAGCAAUAAUGGUCACGUGUGGCCAGACGAGAGUACCGUACGAAUAAGAAUCGGCUAACUUCGUGCCAGCAGCCGCGGUAAUACGGGGGAGGCAAGCGUUAUACGGAUUUAUUGGGUUUUAAGGGUGCGUAAGCUGUGAGGUAAGUCAGGGGUGAAAGGCCCCCGCUCAACGGGGGGAAGUGCCAGUGAUACUGCCGUGCUGGAAUGCGGAUGCGGUGGGAGGAAUGUGUGGUGUAGCGGUGAAAUGCAUAGAUAUCACACAGAACACCGAUUGCGAAGGCAUCUCACGGAUCCGCGAUUGACGCUGAUGCACGAAAGCGUGGGUAUCGAACAGGAUUAGAUACCCUGGUAGUC
This 460-nucleotide ribosomal RNA is filed under the name uncultured bacterium. RNAcentral describes it as "partial 16S ribosomal RNA". It matches the Rfam family "Bacterial small subunit ribosomal RNA", at positions 338 to 795 of the family's 1533-position model. The record is from RNAcentral.